This 84-nucleotide transfer RNA is filed under the name Cladophialophora yegresii CBS 114405. It matches the Rfam family "tRNA". From Rfam's summary of the family: Transfer RNA (tRNA) molecules are approximately 80 nucleotides in length. Their secondary structure includes four short double-helical elements and three loops (D, anti-codon, and T loops). The record is from Rfam by way of RNAcentral. Lineage: Eukaryota; Fungi; Ascomycota; Eurotiomycetes; Chaetothyriales; Herpotrichiellaceae.
GGUUGUGUAGUGUAGCGGUUAGCACACGGGAUUCUGACACCUCCGAACCUUCCCGUGACCCCGGUUCGAAUCCGGGCACGACCU